RNAcentral lists this long non-coding RNA (1359 nucleotides) under Homo sapiens (human). RNAcentral describes it as "HSALNT0002485". Lineage: Eukaryota; Metazoa; Chordata; Mammalia; Primates; Hominidae. The record is from RNAcentral.
GUGCUUCCUGGCACUGGGCUACAAUUCCUGAUGGCUGAUUCUGGGUGAAGAUGCUGUCUCUGGAAGGCCCCUGAUCAAGCUCUCCCGAGUCUCCCUCCUGAUAAACAUACAUCAAAAGGUGCAGCCCAGCAUUGGCUUUCUCUACAUGGCCCCCAGGUCCACCCUGCCCCGCCCAGCUGUUCCCCACCACCUGUGGCUUUCAGGAUGCUUCAGGAAAUGGAAGACACAGCAUGUGUGUGGGAGGAGUGGUUGAAGCCUCGCUGUGAUUCACCCGGACCUCCAAGGAAGUCACAGCUGCCCUCUGGGAUGGCCACAUUCCAUGGGGAGGGGCUUCAGGACACGCUACCUCAAAUACGGCACCUUGGUAUAUUGAAUACUUUAUACCUGGAAGUCAGAUUCCAGGCUCCUCUGUGGACGGCUUUGUCUUCGUUCCCUGGCACUUCCAACCCACCCUCUCUACCCAGGAACUAAGGCUGAGUGGUCUCCAGUGCCCUGAGAAAGCCCUGUGGAAGCACCAAGGAUGCUGGCACUGCCAGGAAGAGCGAGGGGACACUGACAAGAUGCAGGCAGGAAGCCCAGAAGAAGGACAGCCCCCAUCCUGAGAAUAAGAAUGCGGAAGUGGGAGAAGGCAGGGAGGUGGCGAUGAAGCCAGCGCUGGAAGCCCAAGGCUGCCGGGCUGUCCCGCUGUUCAUGGCUGAUGGAAAGCGAACCCAAGCGUCCGUGCCCUCAGCUGCCGCCCGCCUGCUUCCCCACAUCUGCGCUGCCUCCAGCUAAUGAAAGUGUUACUCCACGAAGCAGCAAGGUGGUGUUGCUACUGGUUUAGGAGAGACUCCGUGCAUCUGGCCAGCACUGGUUGAGCAACCAGCUGUGUGCAGACACAGGCUACGUCUGUGCCAGUCACUUUCCAUAGCCUGCAAGCUUUGUAAAGAGUAAAGAAACUGAGGCUUGGAGAGGCAAAAUGAUUCGGCUGAGGCCCCACACUAGGUUCCUGACAAGCGUCUGGCUUCUGGACCAGAGUUCACAUCCCAUCCCAUCAGGCUGGAAGAGACUGCGGGUGAACUGAAUGCCUCUCAACGUCCCUUUCCACCCCUGGUGGCCAGGCUCAUUAGGAGAAAGGAUGUCAGAAUCUCAGUGGAGGUGUGAGGAUUUUUCUCCCAAAGUCAUAAAGCGGAAGGCAUCCUGCCUGUUUAACUGGCAGCCCGUCUUCUGGCCUCACCUCCCUUCAGGUACUGCUUUUUUAUCUCCUCCUAAAAUGCGGCAGCCCUUAUCGUCCCAAUCUCAAAUUUCACUCCAUUUUUUUUAUUACACAAAAGAGAAAAAAAUCUGUCAGUAAAACUGUCUCCUCAAAUUUAUUCGCCG